GACGAACGCUGGCGGCGUGCUUAAUACAUGCAAGUCGAGCGGUGAAGGCGGGUAUUUGUGCCAACGGGAUGAGCAGCGAAGGGGAGAGUAACGCGUGGGGAAUCCGCCUUUUAGCGGGGGACAAUAAUUGGAAACGAACGCUAAGACCACAUAAAAACUUUCAACACAAGAUUUAAGGUUAAAAUAUGUAAUUGGAUCACUCAAAGACGACCUCGCGUUGUAUUAGCUAGUUGGUGAGGUAAACGCUCACCAAGGCGAGGAUAUAUAGCCGACCUGCUAGGGUGCUCGGCCACGUUGGGAGUGAGACACGGCCCAAAAUCCUACAGGAGGCAGCAGUAGGGGAUCUUCAGGAAUGGACGAAAUUCUGACCGAGCCGCGCCGCGUGAGUGCAGAACGUUGUCGGAUCGUGAAACUCUGUUGGUCGAGUGGAACGUUGGUGAGAGUGGAAAGCUCAUAAAGUGACGGUAACUGCCCAGAAAGCGACGGCUAACUACGUG
Molecule: ribosomal RNA, 497 nt
Filed under: uncultured bacterium
Lineage: Bacteria
Description: partial 16S ribosomal RNA
Rfam family: Bacterial small subunit ribosomal RNA
Source: RNAcentral